AACGAACGCUGGCGGCAGGCCUAACACAUGCAAGUCGAGCGCCCUUUCGGGGGAGCGGCGGACGGGUGAGUAACGCGUGGGAAUAUGCCCUUCUCUACGGAAUAGCCUCGGGAAACUGAGAGUAAUACCGUAUACGCCCUGUGGGGGAAAGAUUUAUCGGGGAAGGAUUAGCCCGCGUUGGAUUAGGUAGUUGGUGGGGUAAUGGCCUACCAAGCCGACGAUCCAUAGCUGGUUUGAGAGGAUGAUCAGCCACACUGGGACUGAGACACGGCCCAGACUCCUACGGGAAGCAGCAGUGGGGAAUCUUAUACAAUGGGGGCAACCCUGAUCUAGCCAUGCCGCGUGAGUGAUGAAGGCCUUAGGGUUGUAAAGCUCUUUCAGCUGGGAAGAUAAUGACGGUACCAGCAGAAGAAGCCCCGGCUAACUCCGUG
This 431-nucleotide ribosomal RNA is filed under the name uncultured bacterium. RNAcentral's name for it is "partial 16S ribosomal RNA". It matches the Rfam family "Bacterial small subunit ribosomal RNA", at positions 29 to 507 of the family's 1533-position model. The record is from RNAcentral.